UGUAUCUGUGCAGUGGUGUUUACAACUGAUCACAACCAGUUACAGAGUUGUUUCUUCUCCACUCCCACUGAUUCACUUGAUUUGCUUUAA
Unclassified non-coding RNA from Chlorocebus sabaeus (green monkey), 90 nucleotides. It matches the Rfam family "Y RNA". Rfam says of the family: Y RNAs are components of the Ro ribonucleoprotein particle (Ro RNP), in association with Ro60 and La proteins. The record is from Ensembl. NCBI's taxonomy places the organism in Eukaryota, Metazoa, Chordata, Mammalia, Primates, Cercopithecidae.